RNAcentral lists this ribosomal RNA (497 nucleotides) under uncultured bacterium. RNAcentral describes it as "partial 16S ribosomal RNA". It matches the Rfam family "Bacterial small subunit ribosomal RNA", at positions 28 to 507 of the family's 1533-position model. The record is from RNAcentral.
GAUGAACGCUGGCGGCGUGCCUAAUACAUGCAAGUCGAGCGAACAGACGAGGAGCUUGCUCCUCUGACGUUAGCGGCGGACGGGUGAGUAACACGUGGAUAACCUACCUAUAAGACUGGGAUAACUUCGGGAAACCGGAGCUAAUACCGGAUAAUAUAUUGAACCGCAUGGUUCAAUAGUGAAAGACGGUUUUGCUGUCACUUAUAGAUGGAUCCGCGCCGCAUUAGCUAGUUGGUAAGGUAACGGCUUACCAAGGCAACGAUGCGUAGCCGACCUGAGAGGGUGAUCGGCCACACUGGAGCUGAGACACGGUCCAGACUCCUACGGGAGGCAGCAGUAGGGAAUCAUCCGCAAUGGGCGAAAGCCUGACGGAGCAACGCCGCGUGAGUGAUGAAGGUCUUCGGAUCGUAAAACUCUGUUAUUAGGGAAGAACAAAUGUGUAAGUAACUAUGCACGUCUUGACGGUACCUAAUCAGAAAGCCACGGCUAACUACGUG